Long non-coding RNA from Triticum aestivum (bread wheat), 2637 nucleotides. RefSeq lists it as uncharacterized. Lineage: Eukaryota; Viridiplantae; Streptophyta; Magnoliopsida; Poales; Poaceae. The record is from RefSeq and is a predicted model, not a curated record. The transcript is spliced from 11 exons.
GUACAGUGCCGCGAGGAGCGGUGAAAACCCUAGCCAAUCCUCUCUCGUCCCCGCGCCUCCAUUCUCCUCCCUCCACGCUAUCCUCCCGCGCCUCCCUCAUAGCCCCGGCGCGGCGCCGCCUCCACCACCUCCUCCUCUCUCUGCUUGCCUCCUCUCUCGCUCAAGAAGGCGGACCGAGCGGCGGCGGCAUAUUGUCCGUAGAUGGAGAAGGCGGACACGAGCGGCGGCGCCAUCUUGUCCGCGGAUGGCAGACGUGUUUCUUGCCGCCGCCGCUGCUCCUCUCCCUCGCCUCCUCUGCGACGCUUCCUCCUCUUCUCUUCUCCCGCUCCAGUCAUGGCGAUGGCGGCCGGGCAGGGAAGCGGCGGCCGGGCCAGGCAGGGCGGCGGCGGCCGGGAACGGAGAAGCGGCCGGGCUGGGAGAGCGUCCUCGUCGCCUUCAACCUCCCCACGCGAGGAUGACAUUAGUCUGCAAUUGUACUCAAUGAACGAUAGCAGUUUUGUUUGCAAAUAGAGAGGAAAAAGUAGGGACGGUGAAGCCUUGGGUUACAUGACAAAUGCAAAAAACUUUUCAAACAGGUGUGCCUGCAAUGGAACAUUGGAUUUCAGCAAUAUUAUUGGUUCUGCAUACAAGGGUACUAUCAAAUGGAGUUGAAAUUGCAGCUGCGUUAAGUUUGGUGACAUUUGCAAAGGAUUGGUUGAAAGAACAGAGUCACCAACUCACCAUACAGGAAAAUGUUGUUCUCCUGUUUUUGACUGCAUCCUUGCGCCGUCGUUACAAGCGAUUUCCCUUCACUACAGCCCCUUUCAUGUCGUUGUUACAAGAGAUUUCACAGUUUCCCCUUGUUACCAUGUUCUUCAGUUAAAAUGCAGUUGUAGUGCUCCAAAGUUAUUUUCUUUACUGUGGUUCGGAUAAGUACAUAUUCAACGAUGUUGGACAUUGCGGUUGGUGGCUACAUAUUUCAAAGAUCAUCUGGGCUAAACCUUGAAAUCAAAUGUAAUUUUGAAGCCAUUCUUGAUUAUUUUGCCAGCUGCGGUACAUGAUCAGAACUAAGGCGACAAUGGCCAGACUAUGUCUGGUGCAUAGAUUUAAUUGAUACAUUGCCAGUUUGGACAACACCUUCAAACAUUAUCUCGGAAAGAGUUCAUCUGCACAACAAGACUUGGAUGGAAAGGCCUUUCUGCCCCAGCACAACAUAACUCCUGGGGUCAUAUUCGGCCUCCCAAGGUCCUACUAGGGUUGUUCUUUCUAAGGGUGAAGCAUUGCCUGUUGUGCCAAUGCCGGGCAAAAGGAAUAGCUCUUUUGAAGGACAAAAUGCUGUAACUCUCUUCAUAUACAAGAUAGAACUUAUGACUUCAAUUCCGGUAUAAUUUCACCACUUGCGCCUGUGGCGCAAUGGGUCAUAUAUUCUCUGAGGUUCCCUAAUGUUCCUGAAAGCUGCCCUCAUGUUUGCUAAUGUUUGAUUUGUGCUGUCGCAAGUAGCUUUUGUUUGCACUACUGGACGAACUAUGUUGAGCUUUACUUCUAGGAGGCAAAUUACUCUUUAGCUUAAACAGAUACUUAGAUUUUACAGGACAUUUUACAUGGCUCUUUGAUCACAUCUCCUGGUAUUUUGGGUCUUUCAGGUGAUAGAAAUAGCCAGAUGGGUCACGAAAACAUCGUGAAGAUGGUGAGAUAUUGCAAGGAGUCUGAUCCGUUCUGAGGAAUGCUUGUCUUUGAGUACCAGCCAAAUGGGACCCUCUAUGAUGGGAAAGGAUGUUAACUAUCUUGGCCAGGCGAAGAUUGUGCUCAGCAUCGCGCGCAUUCUAAUGCACUUCACAGUGAGCCGAUGGCUCUGUUCGCGCUCCCCGUGUUGACGGCCAGUUCGGUCUAUUAGUUAUAACAUGGCUUCUUCACUGCAGUUGACAACGAAGACUGCAGGGUGAAAACCCCACAUCAAAUUUAUUGAUUAGUAAAGUCAUAUACAAAAGAUUUGCAAAGGUUAGAGAGUCAGCUAGCUAUAACAGAGAGUCAAUCCAUAUUGCAAACUGUUGUGGGUACUUGGCUUUCACCCUAUGCAAGUGCAGGGUGACCUCAUGCCUAAAUUUGCUUCUCCAGGAUCUAAAAGAUGGCAACACAUUCUGAAAAAUAGCUUCAUUUCUCUCUUUCCAAAUGUGCCAGGCAGCUAGAAUAACAACCUCAGUGAAGAAUGGGUGACCAAGCUGCUGCUUUGUCAACAUAAAACUCAGCUCAAUGGAGUUACCCUGCUGCCAGUGAAUCUGUAGAUAGUUCCAUAUCCUGAUGCUAAAGUUGCAGCCAAAAAAGAGAUGCAUCCAAUCCUCAGUGCACCUUGUGGGACACAACACACAGUGAGACAUUCUCCAAAAAAAAAACACGCACAGUGAAAGACAUCAGUGACAUUCCAGUGUCGUCUGCGAAGCAUGUCUCUGGUAUUUAGUCUAUCACUGAAAAGCAGCCAAGCAUGGUAUUUUCAAUUUAAAUCAUGUAAGUGUGGUUUGUCAUGGAUGUGAUACUCCGUGCUGCAAUCAUUUGGCAAUCAUUCUUGCCACGAAGAAAUUUGUAGAGAUUACCACCUUUGAGAAGGUUAAAAGAUACAAUAUGUUCUCCUCGAGUAAAAUUAGUUCUGCGCAUUCUGAAAUA